Mustela lutreola (European mink) is the source of this 1104-nucleotide long non-coding RNA. RefSeq lists it as uncharacterized. The record is from RefSeq and is a predicted model, not a curated record. Lineage: Eukaryota; Metazoa; Chordata; Mammalia; Carnivora; Mustelidae. The transcript is spliced from 2 exons.
UGAGAACGAGUACAAACUGAGAACAUGAUAGAAAUGAAAAGUAUAAAAGGAAGGCUCAGAAAAAAAAGCUUAGAAAAGAACAAAUCGUUAAGAAGAAAAACAGAAAUGGAAAUUUUCCAAAGAGGUGGUUGGCUUACAUUUUUGAAAACUGGAAACAAUGAAAAAGAGGAGGCUUGUGUUAAACAUAAUGCACAUAAAAUUCACAAGAAGGAUAUUACACAUUUGAUGUAAUUACUCAUCCAAACAAUGAAAACGUGCAAAACUGUUACUGGCAUCAAGCCUCUGUUUGUACAGCUCAAAGAAAAUCCCUGUGCUUUCACAUCUUUUCCUGCAUGCAGACUGAACUAUAAUACAAGAUAAUUAGAGUGUGUGAGGACCCGGUUUGACUCCUGCCCCAGGCCUUGUGUUGGGAAGCAUUGGGGAAGAGGGCUGCCAGGAGAUAUGCAAUGCCCCUGAGCAAAGAAGCUGAAGACCUAGGGAAGAAAACCCUUCAAAGUUCUCUGCGUAUUAAUCCACCCAGUGGAAACUUCUGCAAUUCAGGGAGGAAGUUCUUCAGAAUCACAAUCAGACGGUGGAGUGCUGCUUCGGCUAAUUUUCUAUGGUGGUUUCCAGAAAUGCAAUCCUAAUCUAUGUUUACUCAUUCUUCUCAUACAGAAUCAUUAACCCUGCUCUCCCCCAGUUUGUUAAUGCACAUGUGAGUCCCACCGGGUAUCACCCAGCUUUUUCCUUAAUCACCAUGAGCCGCGUAUAAACCUGCCUCCCUCUCCGAAGCGCUCUGUUUACCCACCCUUAUCACCUCCCACAGUCUGCUCAGCUACCGGAGACUCUGUGACAAGGGGCCAUAAACGUGACACUGUCCUUGAAAGAUAUCAGUAAAAUUUUACAUUAUUAUCCUGAUUGUGGCGGGGGGGGGGGGGGGGGUUGGAAAGACGCUUCAAAGGGAGUCAGAUUAUUUUCUUUUGUCAGAGGUUAAAUGGAUAAUUAAUUUGCAUCUGUGCCUUUCCACAGCCAUUUUACACCUGUCUGAUAGAAUAAAUUAUAAACCAUGAAAAAGAAAACAGUUCCCUUAUUUGAACAGUGCUGAAUAAAAUCUUUGAAAGUGUU